This 66-nucleotide transfer RNA is filed under the name Tramea virginia. RNAcentral's name for it is "tRNA-Tyr". It matches the Rfam family "tRNA". Rfam says of the family: Transfer RNA (tRNA) molecules are approximately 80 nucleotides in length. The record is from RNAcentral. RNAcentral also lists the same sequence under 1 other name. Lineage: Eukaryota; Metazoa; Arthropoda; Insecta; Odonata; Libellulidae.
GGUAAGAUGGUCGAGACUUAGGCGAUAGACUGUAAAUCUAUAUAGGAGGGGUUCCCUCUUUUACCG